Molecule: unclassified non-coding RNA, 986 nt
Filed under: Hevea brasiliensis (rubber tree)
Lineage: Eukaryota; Viridiplantae; Streptophyta; Magnoliopsida; Malpighiales; Euphorbiaceae
Source: RNAcentral
GAAAAAUGAAAAACAAUCAGCAUUCAGAUUUCAAAAUCCAUAGGUCCCAGACGGUUGAUUUUAUCUCUUUCCCAAUUUAAGUUCUCUUCUUCCUCGUUAUAACCCAUCUCAGGCUCACCUUCUCAUUCCACAAAGCAUCUCCCAUAGUCAAAGCAGAAGAAUCAAUGGCUCACAAAUUUUUCUGCAACCUCCUUCUUCUUCUCUUGCUGGUUAUACUUAUUACAGGGGGAAAUUCUGAUAUAACUUUCAAUUUUGAGAAUAAUUGUCUGGAAACCUUGUGGCUUGCCUCCAGCCCAUCCGACGGUGAUCUGGAUCCCCAAAAUGGACCAGGCACACUGGAAAUAUUCUCCAUGCCAGAUCCAUGGACCGGAAGCAUAUGGGUACGAACCAAAUGUAGUACCAAUUCAACGGGUUACUUCUCUUGCCAAACUGGAGAUUGUGGGUCGGGUGCAGAAGAAUGCCAGGGUCCACCACCCACAUACCCGGUUACCCUGCUCAAUUUCAAUAUCAAACAGAACUUGGUUUCAUAUGAAGUGAGCUUGAUCCAUGGGCACAACAUUGCAGUUCGGAUCCAACCAAAUGGCGGGUCAUUAACUGGAGCAGGGUCUGGACCAUGCCCGGCUGUGGAUUGCAUUCAGGAUAUUAGCAAUAUUUGUCCAGCUUCCCUGGUGGCUAAAAAUAAAGACGGAGUCUAUGUUGGAUGCUAUAAUGCAUGUGAUGCAUUAAAGGAUCCGAAAUUCUGCCAGGAUAAUGAAUACUCAAAACUCUUCAAGCAAUUGUGUAAUUUAGCACAUACCUACCCCGGAGACAAUAAUCCUCCACUUUACAAGUGUAGUGGGGCUGCCAGUUACAAUAUAACAUUCUGUCCUGUGUUAUAAAUUUCCCAUGCUAUUUUUCAAUUUGGUGAUCACUCAUCAUUCUAUCAAGUGUUACAAUUUUAUUCGCUCAUGGGAAUCACAACGAAAAAUUUUUUUGUUUAAAUCCGA